RNAcentral lists this ribosomal RNA (675 nucleotides) under uncultured bacterium. Its description in RNAcentral is "bacterial SSU rRNA". It matches the Rfam family "Bacterial small subunit ribosomal RNA", at positions 300 to 980 of the family's 1533-position model. The record is from RNAcentral.
UAGUCCAGCCACUGGAACUGACCGCGCCCAGACUCCUACGGAGCAGCAGGUGGGAAUUUGGAACAAUUGGGGCAACUGAAUCCCAGCAUGCCGCGUGAGUGAAGAAAGCCUUCGGGUUGUAAGCUCUUUGGUCGGGAGAAAGCGCCUUGCCUAAUACGCGAGGUGGUGACGGUACCGGCAGAAUAAGCACCGGCUAACUACGUGCCAGCAGCCGCGGUAAUACGUAGGGUGCGAGCGUAAUCGGAAUUACUGGGCGUAAAGCGUGCGCAGGCGGUUCGUUAAGUCUGAUGUGAAAGCCCCGGGCUCAACCUGGGAAUGGCAUUGGAAACUGGCGGGCUGGAGUGUGGCAGAGGGGGGUGGAAUUCCACGUGUAGCAGUGAAAUGCGUAGAGAUGUGGAGGAACACCGAUGGCGAAGGCAGCCCCCUGGGCCAACACUGACGCUCAGGCACGAAAGCGUGGGGAGCAAACAGGAUUAGAUACCCUGGUAGUCCACGCCCUAAACGAUGAUCACUGGGUGUUGGGGAAGCGAUUCCUUGGUACCGUAGCUAACGCGUGAAGUGAUCCGCCUGGGGAGUACGGUCGCAAGAUUAAAACUCAAAGGAAUUGACGGGGACCCGCACAAGCGGUGGAUGAUGUGGAUUAAUUCGAUGCAACGCGAACAACCUUACCUACCC